CAUACGGCAAAAGAAACCUAUUGAUCCCCUCGAGGACACAGGCACACAGCCGCCGAUCCUCUCGAUCCACCCCUCCCGAUGCGAGCUCUCUCCUUCCCUCUCCUCGCACUCCGGCACCGCCCCCAUCUCCCGCUCCGGCGCCACCCCUACUGCUCCGCUGGCCCGACGCAGCCGGAUCUCACAACCCAAUCUCAUGCUAUCUCACAGCCGCUGCCGCCGAUCUCACAGCCGGAUCUCAUGCGAUCUCGCGCCGCCGACGUACGGAGUCACCUCCACGGUACAGGAUCACCGCCGCUGAUCUAAGAGGUCACGUCGCUGCCACCAUUGACUUACCCGCGCUGCUUGCUGCUCUGCUCGUGUCAUACCUCCUCGGUCAUGUUUGCCGCCAUGGCCACCAGUCCCCACCUCGAUCUAUCAUCUCCUUGACCAGCCACCCAUGUCCUAGCCAUGUUGUUGUUGCUGAUCUCCUCCCCCCCGACCCGUAGGUGGACAAUAUGGAGGUUCCGGCUGCCGCUGGUGUCAAACGACAAGAUGGGUAGCGAGAUAGCCGUCGUGACUUCAGGUAUGUUUGCUUGAGUGUGUCUUUUUUUCCUUGUGCGCUGCUUCAAUUUCUUUAACUAACCAUCAGCGGAGAAGAAGGUGCCCUGGAUUGAGAAGGUUGGUGAGCACGCUAAGAUGCAACAUACUCUAGGGGCCGCAGUGACCAAAUUGUUAAGAAUAUUAGACUCUGGUGUCGUGAUGCUGUAUACAACAUAUUUAUUGGCAUCAAAUAGUUUCAGGUUUGUUCUUGAAUUCGAUUCAUGCUGUCCAUGGCGUCUGCUUAUAAUCAGGUUUAAAUUUCUGGUGUUUUAUGUAAUUUAUUGUCAACAUUAUGUAUCUUUUCUUCUGUAACCCUUAUUGAUCAAAUCAGAUUUGGUGUCUCCAAUAAGUCCCCAAUCUCAGGCACAUUUAGUUUCAUGUUGAAUGCAUUAUAGCCAAUUCAAUUUAUUUUGUACGUAUAGCUAUUGAUCCUUUAUGAUUCAUGAGAUUGUUGACAAAUUGCAAAAUUAUUCUUUGGUUAUAAUUCUGUGGUUCUCUCUGGCUGCAGACAACUUUUUUUCUCUGCAUACGUGUUCCUUAUGACAAUUAAAGGAUACUAAUUUUUUUAAAAUAUUACAGGAGAUGCGUAUACGUAAGUUUGACUUUUAGAUAAUACAUGCCAAAUUAAUGUUAUGUCGUGCAUGACAGUGUAGCUCGGCAGGGUAAUGGUGAAGCUUCAUUCUGACGGUCUAGAAGUUUUUGUUUGGUGUUUCCCUCGGCAGGGUAAUGGAGGAAGAUGAGACUUACCCCAGUUUUCAGUGCAUGGUUGGAGAAGAGGAUAAGAGGAGAGGCUUGAAUCUUGAGGUGACAAGGGUAGUCAUCUGGUGCAACUAAAGGUUCAGUUUCAUACUUGUGAUGAUAUUGUUCAGUUUGCCUGGAUGAUUGCCCUUGUACUACUCUUUUCAGAAGGAAGGAGGUAAAUGGAGCAAAAGGCACGAGGAGAAAGGAGUAACGCCAUAGGGAUGACGUUGUCGACAGCGCCUUUGAAAGGAUUCGCCAUGGAGAAGCUACGGUGGUUGACCAUCUUGCUCGGGAAGUGGGAAGGAUGUCAUUCGAAACGCCCCUAGGUUCUAGGGCGUGCAUCCAUGCGGCGGACGAGGAUGGCCAUGCGGCGGCCGAGGUGGCCACAAGGAGUUGGAUUGGGCACUUGCCAAUGCGAGCGUGCCGUUGCUCAAGUAUGCCAAUUUAUCCGUGAUGGCAACCUAACAUUUGGAGGUAAUGACGACCUCACUAGAGUAAGGGGAAAAUUGUGGGAGUGGACGCACAUCAUGUAGGUGAAACGGGAGAGUUUGUGGUCGUAGCAGCUGUGUUCUUCUUACAGUUUUCCUUCUCUGAAUUGCAUCUUUGGUACAUCUAUAUUUAUUAUUUAAUAGCAUGGAGAGAAAGUUGUCAUCGGUAUUUUCAUCAGUUAUGCAAUUGAUUCUGUACAGAGGAAAUGUAUGCACUCUUUUCUCAUUCUUGUACAAUAUAUCCUCCUUUUGAUGUCUUAUCU
Molecule: long non-coding RNA, 2071 nt
Organism: Triticum dicoccoides
Lineage: Eukaryota; Viridiplantae; Streptophyta; Magnoliopsida; Poales; Poaceae
Exons: 5
Source: RefSeq, a predicted model, not a curated record